Long non-coding RNA from Ostrea edulis (European flat oyster), 411 nucleotides. RefSeq lists it as uncharacterized. The record is from RefSeq and is a predicted model, not a curated record. The transcript is spliced from 3 exons. NCBI's taxonomy places the organism in Eukaryota, Metazoa, Mollusca, Bivalvia, Ostreida, Ostreidae.
GGAAGUAGAGAGAAUAUGGAAGCUACAAAUAAGCACCACAUAAUGGAUGACCAAACGAGGAAUACUGGUGUUUUUAGGUAGUAAGAAAAUUGCAACAUAAAAUAAGAAAUGGAUGGAAGGACAAUAAGAUUCCAGCCUACUUACAGUAUCGGGAUUUUGAAGUCUGUGGCUUUGAUCUGGUUGAAGACUUUCCGAUAGUUGCUGAAGUUGUUAUUGGAUGACAGGAGGUCAGUAAACUCCAACAGCGUCUGCAACAGAAAGACUAGUCACAUCAUCUUGCAAUCACCACUCACAGAAUCAACACAGGAUUGGACAGCAGGCAUGCUUUCUAUGCCAUACAACACUGUACAUGAAGAUAUCAGACAAAUUAUACAGGCUGUUACAAAAAGUGUGUCAGUUGUGUCAUCCUGA